RNAcentral lists this ribosomal RNA (464 nucleotides) under uncultured bacterium. Its description in RNAcentral is "partial 16S ribosomal RNA". It matches the Rfam family "Bacterial small subunit ribosomal RNA", at positions 339 to 795 of the family's 1533-position model. The record is from RNAcentral.
CUACGGGGUGCUGCAGUGGGGAAUAUUGCACAAUGGGCGCAAGCCUGAUGCAGCCAUGCCGCGUGUAUGAAGAAGGCCUUCGGGUUGUAAAGUACUUUCAGCGGGGAGGAAGGGAGUAAAGUUAAUACCUUUGCUCAUUGACGUUACCCGCAGAAGAAGCACCGGCUAACUCCGUGCCAGCAGCCGCGGUAAUACGGAGGGUGCAAGCGUUAAUCGGAAUUACUGGGCGUAAAGCGCACGCAGGCGGUUUGUUAAGUCAGAUGUGAAAUCCCCGGGCUCAACCUGGGAACUGCAUCUGAUACUGGCAAGCUUGAGUCUCGUAGAGGGGGGUAGAAUUCCAGGUGUAGCGGUGAAAUGCGUAGAGCUCUGGAGGAAUACCGGCGGCGAAGGCGGCCCCCUGGACGAAGACUGACGCUCAGGUGCGAAAGCGUGGGGAGCAAACAGGAUUAGAUACCCGCGUAGUC